UACGGGGGGGGCAAGCGUUGUUCGGAAUUACUGGGCGUAAAGGGCGCGUAGGCGGUCCGCUAAGUUGGAUGUGAAAACUCUGGGCUUAACCCAGAGCCUGCAUCCAAAACUGGCAAACUUGAGUACUGGAGGGGAAAGCGGAAUUCCUGGUGUAGCGGUGAAAUGCGUAGAUAUCAGGAGGAACACCGGUGGCGAAGGCGGCUUUCUGGACAGUAACUGACGCUGAGGCGCGAAAGCUAGGGGAGCAAACAGG
This 253-nucleotide ribosomal RNA is filed under the name uncultured bacterium. Its description in RNAcentral is "partial 16S ribosomal RNA". It matches the Rfam family "Bacterial small subunit ribosomal RNA", at positions 524 to 776 of the family's 1533-position model. The record is from RNAcentral.